ACGGCUCAGUAACACGUGGCUAACCUACCCUUAGGACGUGGACAACCCCGGGAAACUGGGGCUAACAUCUGAUAGGUGAGGAGGCCUGGAAUGGUUCCUCCCUGAAAAGGCGUUGAAACCAUGUUUUUCAGCGUCGCCUAAGGAUGGGGCCGCGCCCGAUCAGGUUGUUGGUGGGGUAACGGCUCACCAAGCCAUUAACCGGUACGGGCCGUGAGAGCGGGAGCCCGGAGAUGGGCACUGAGACAAGGGCCCAGGCCCUACGGGGCGCAGCAGUCGCGAAAACUCCGCAAUGCGCGAAAGCGUGACGGGGCUACCCCGAGUGCCGUCCGCUGAGGAUGGCUUUUCCCCGGUGUAAUGAGCCGGGGGAAUAAGGAGAGGGCAAGACUGGUGUCAGCCGCCGCGGUAAUACCAGCUCUCCGAGUGGUAGGGACAAUUAUUGGGCUUAAAGCGUCCGUAGCCGGCUUGGCAAGUCUCCUGUUAAAUUCAGCGACUUAAUCGUUGAGCCGCGGGAGAUACUACUAGGCUAGGAGGCGGGAGAGGCCGACGGUAUUCCCGGGGUAGGGGUGAAAUCCUAUAAUCCCGGGAGGACCACCAGUGGCGAAGGCUGUCGGCUAGAACGCGCUCGACGGUGAGGGACGAAAGCUGGGGGAGCGAACCGGAUUAGAUACCCGGGUAGUCCCAGCCGUAAACGAUGCGGGCUAGGUGUUGAGGUGGCUACGAGCCACUUCAGUGCCGCAGGGAAGCCAUUAAGCCCGCCGCCUGGGGAGUACGGCCGCAAGGCUGAAACUUAAAGGAAUUGGCGGGGGAG
This 808-nucleotide ribosomal RNA is filed under the name uncultured archaeon. RNAcentral's name for it is "bacterial SSU rRNA". It matches the Rfam family "Archaeal small subunit ribosomal RNA", at positions 85 to 876 of the family's 1478-position model. The record is from RNAcentral.